CCUACGGGGGGCAGCAGUUUCGAAUCAUUCACAAUGGGGGAAACCCUGAUGGUGCGACGCCGCGUGGAGGAUGAAGGUCUUCGGAUUGUAAACUCCUGUCAAGGGGGACUAUUAACCCCUAGAGGAAGCAGUGGCUAACUCUGUGCCAGCAGCCGCGGCAAUACAGAACCUGCAGGCGUUACUCGGAUUCACUGGGCGUAAAGGGAGCGCAGGCGGAAUCGUGUGUCGGAUGUGAAACCCGGGGGCUCAACUCCCGGACUGCGUCUGAAACUGCGAUGCUAGGGACUCGGAGGGGCUAGUGGAAUUCUUGGUGGAGCAGUGAAAUGCGUAGAUAUCAAGAGGAACACCAACGGCGAAGGCAGCUAGCUGGCGGAUCCGACGCUCAGGCUCGAAAGUAUGGGGAGCAAAAAGGAUUAGAUACCCCAGUAGUC
RNAcentral lists this ribosomal RNA (431 nucleotides) under uncultured bacterium. RNAcentral's name for it is "partial 16S ribosomal RNA". It matches the Rfam family "Bacterial small subunit ribosomal RNA", at positions 338 to 795 of the family's 1533-position model. The record is from RNAcentral.